GAGUUUGAUCCUGGCUCAGGAUGAACGCUAGCUACAGGCUUAACACAUGCAAGUCGAGGGGCAGCAUGGUCUUAGCUUGCUAAGGCCGAUGGCGACCGGCGCACGGGUGAGUAACACGUAUCCAACCUGCCGUCUACUCUUGGACAGCCUUCUGAAAGGAAGAUUAAUACAAGAUGGCAUCAUGAGUCCGCAUGUUCACAUGAUUAAAGGUAUUCCGGUAGACGAUGGGGAUGCGUUCCAUUAGAUAGUAGGCGGGGUAACGGCCCACCUAGUCUUCGAUGGAUAGGGGUUCUGAGAGGAAGGUCCCCCACAUUGGAACUGAGACACGGUCCAAACUCCUACGGGAGGCAGCAGUGAGGAAUAUUGGUCAAUGGGCGAGAGCCUGAACCAGCCAAGUAGCGUGAAGGAUGACUGCCCUAUGGGUUGUAAACUUCUUUUAUAAAGGAAUAAAGUCGGGUAUGGAUA
This 465-nucleotide ribosomal RNA is filed under the name uncultured bacterium. RNAcentral describes it as "bacterial SSU rRNA". It matches the Rfam family "Bacterial small subunit ribosomal RNA", at positions 9 to 464 of the family's 1533-position model. The record is from RNAcentral.